UUCAAGAGUACGUGAAACCGCAUAGAGUCAAACUGGUGGAUCCGCAGAGUCCGCGCGGGGAAUUCAGCUCGGCAGGCGGGGCCGUGCGCCGGCCGAGAUUCGUCUCGGACCUGGCUGGCGCGCUGCGUACUCGCAGGCAGGGUGCACUUUCCCCGGCUAGCGGAAGGCCACGACCGGUUCGGUGGCGGUCAGGAGCCCGGAGCGGGAGGUAGCCGUGAUCGGUUCACGCCGAUUGCGGAACGUACAGCCCUCCGAGGUGGACUCGCCGCUGGACCGAGGAUGCCGCGGUGGCCUCACGCCGCGGGCCGUCCGGGAGCGUUCGACUUUGGCCACGCUGCUCGCAGCCGGCCGAGACCGCGCUUCUGGUACGGGCUCGCGAACGGGGGCCGCCUAGGGUCAGUGGCGAAUCGGUCGGCAACCCACCAGACCCGUCUUGAAACACGGACCAAGGAGUCUAGCAUGUGCGCGAGUCACGGGGUCUCUCGAAACCCAAGGGCGCAAUGAAAGUGAAGGCCGCCUCCGGCUGGCCCAGGCAAGAUCCCGAGACGUUCGCGUCGAGGGCGCACUGCCGGCCCGUCUCGCUGGCAUCGACCACGAGGCGGAGCAAGAGCGCACACGCUGGGACCCGAAAGAUGGUGAACUAUGCCUGAGUAGGACGAAGUC
Molecule: ribosomal RNA, 663 nt
Filed under: Dreissena presbensis
Lineage: Eukaryota; Metazoa; Mollusca; Bivalvia; Myida; Dreissenidae
Description: eukaryotic LSU rRNA
Rfam family: Eukaryotic large subunit ribosomal RNA (bases 445-663)
Source: RNAcentral